GGGGUAAUGGCCUACCAAGGCGUCGACGGGUAGCCGGCCUGAGAGGUGUACGGCCCAUUGGGACUGAGAUACGGCCCAGACUCCUAUGGGAGGCAGCAGUGGGGAAUAUUGCACAAUGGGCGCAAGCCUGAUGCAGCGACGCCGCGUGGGGGAUGACGGCCUUCGGGUUGUAAACCUCUUUCAGUGCAGACGAAGCGCAAGUGACGGUAUGUACAGAAGAAGCACCGGCCAACUACGUGCCAGCAGCCGCGGUAAUACGUAGGGUGCGAGCGUUGUCCGGAAUUACUGGGCGUAAAGAGUUCGUAGGCGGUUUGUCGCGUCGUUUGUGAAAACCCGGGGCUCAACUUCGGGCUUGCAGGCGAUACGGGCAGACUUGAGUGUUGCAGGGGAGACUGGAAUUCCUGGUGUAGCGGUGAAAUGCGCAGAUAUCAGGAGGAACACCGGUGGCGAAGGCGGGUCUCUGGGCAACAACUGACGCUGAGGAGCGAAAGCGUGGGGAGCGAACAGGAUUAGAUACCCUGGUAGUCCACGCCGUAAACGUUGGGCGCUA
This 550-nucleotide ribosomal RNA is filed under the name uncultured Actinomycetes bacterium. Its description in RNAcentral is "bacterial SSU rRNA". It matches the Rfam family "Bacterial small subunit ribosomal RNA", at positions 254 to 818 of the family's 1533-position model. The record is from RNAcentral. Lineage: Bacteria; Bacillati; Actinomycetota; Actinomycetes.